RNAcentral lists this ribosomal RNA (496 nucleotides) under uncultured bacterium. RNAcentral describes it as "partial 16S ribosomal RNA". It matches the Rfam family "Bacterial small subunit ribosomal RNA", at positions 29 to 507 of the family's 1533-position model. The record is from RNAcentral.
AUGCACGCUGGCGGCGUGCCUAAUACAUGCAAGUCGAGCGAACGGACGAGAAGCUUGCUUCUCUGAUGUUAGCGGCGGACGGGUGAGUAACACGUGGAUAACCUACCUAUAAGACUGGGAUAACUUCGGGAAACCGGAGCUAAUACCGGAUAAUAUUUUGAACCGCAUGGUUCAAAAGUGAAAGACGGUCUUGCUGUCACUUAUAGAUGGAUCCGCGCUGCAUUAGCUAGUUGGUAAGGUAACGGCUUACCAAGGCAACGAUGCAUAGCCGACCUGAGAGGGUGAUCGGCCACACUGGAACUGAGACACGGUCCAGACUCCUACGGGAGGCAGCAGUAGGGAAUCUUCCGCAAUGGGCGAAAGCCUGACGGAGUAACGCCGCGUGAGUGAUGAAGGUCUUCGGAUCGUAAAACUCUGUUAUUAGGGAAGAACAUAUGUGUAAGUAACUGUGCACAUCUUGACGGUACCUAAUCAGAAAGCCACGGCUAACUACGUG